RNAcentral lists this unclassified non-coding RNA (211 nucleotides) under Hevea brasiliensis (rubber tree). The record is from RNAcentral. Lineage: Eukaryota; Viridiplantae; Streptophyta; Magnoliopsida; Malpighiales; Euphorbiaceae.
GGAAGGUGGGAAAAGUAUAGUAGCCAAGCAUAUGGCAGAACAAGUUGUUGAGGCGCAUAAAGAGGUGAAAUUAAAGUUAGAAGAGGCUAAUAAGAAGUAUAAAGAUGCAGUUGAUAAACACAGGCGAAAGUAAGUGUUUGAGAUGGGAACAAAUGUGAUGGUGUUUUUAAGACGUGAGCGGUUUCCCGUGGGUACCUAUAGCAAGCUUCAA